CUUCUUUCUUUAUGUAUUAAUUAAUUCUAGCCAAUGCGAUUCCCUUGAACCCUAGUAAAAACCCACCCCUCGAUUCUCCCUCGCCAUUGCCUCACGGACCCGACAAUCAAAGCCUGGUGGUUCUUGAUGCAGAGGAGGGCAGUGGGGGAUUGUCCCGACGAGCCAAACAACUGUCGAUCCUCACAAUGGUGGGAAGAACAGCAUGAUUUUGUUUCUUCUUUUCUUUCUUCUCAUUGGAUUUCAUCCUCCUUGGCAGAAGCCCAUCUGGCCCAACCCAUUUGACACAAGCUCAUUUAGCCUCGAGACCUAAUAAACCGUACCCAAUCGAACCGAGUUUCUCAAAUCGAUUUGAACUGAUAUUUUUUUUUUUUUUUUUAAUUUAGAAAACUCACUAAGUCGAUUCGGUUUUAAGAAUAACGCCCUAAAUUGAUGCUGCAUGUACUUAUGAAUAUGCAUGAAGCUAAAAAUAGUUUGAAUGUUACGGUGACAAGUGUAUGGAUUUUUUUUGUUAAUAUGCCAUUACAAAAAACUCAAUUUACAUAUUUAGCCCGGACAAACUUUUAUUGUUACAUCCCUGAACAGUUUUAUUUUUUGCACAAAUACGCCUGCUGUUACAAUCCGUCCCGCAGCGUUUACC
Molecule: long non-coding RNA, 637 nt
Filed under: Elaeis guineensis (African oil palm)
Lineage: Eukaryota; Viridiplantae; Streptophyta; Magnoliopsida; Arecales; Arecaceae
Description: long non-coding RNA (EGUI_LNC006995)
Source: RNAcentral